CCAAUAUAAGAAGUGUUGGCUCUAAUAGGAUUGAUCCCAAAAUUCUUUGUCAAGUCAGGUUCAUGGGUUCAAUUUCUUUAGCUGAAGAAGUAUUAAGAUGAAGGAUGUGAAAUGGAUAAGAAUCUUGCUUCUCCACCAAUUUGCUUCCAAGGAAGGAUGAUCACACCAUUCUCUUUAACUGGAAUUUUUUUUUUCAAUUGCUAGAAAUAUUUUUCUCUCCAUCAUAGUGGAUGUUACAGUUUUAGUUGUUUAGAAUAGGCUUAAAAGAAAAUCUAUUUGUAAGACAACACAUAUUUUUAUGGAUAGCAUACUGAGUGUUCUAUACAUUUUAAAUUUGAAAUUCAUACCAA
Quercus robur (English oak) is the source of this 350-nucleotide long non-coding RNA. RefSeq lists it as uncharacterized. The transcript has 2 exons. NCBI's taxonomy places the organism in Eukaryota, Viridiplantae, Streptophyta, Magnoliopsida, Fagales, Fagaceae. The record is from RefSeq and is a predicted model, not a curated record.